CGGCAACAGCUCAAAUUUGAAAUCUGGCCCCCCGGCCCGAGUUGUAAUUUGGAGAGGAUGCUUCUGGCGCGGCGCCGUCCGAGUUCCUUGGAACAGGACGCCAUAGAGGGUGAGAGCCCCGUACGGACGGACGCCUAGCCUCUACGAAGCUCCUUCGAC
RNAcentral lists this ribosomal RNA (159 nucleotides) under Sporothrix sp. RNAcentral's name for it is "partial large subunit ribosomal RNA". It matches the Rfam family "Eukaryotic large subunit ribosomal RNA", at positions 99 to 261 of the family's 3401-position model. The record is from RNAcentral. Lineage: Eukaryota; Fungi; Ascomycota; Sordariomycetes; Ophiostomatales; Ophiostomataceae.